This 545-nucleotide ribosomal RNA is filed under the name uncultured delta proteobacterium. RNAcentral describes it as "bacterial SSU rRNA". It matches the Rfam family "Bacterial small subunit ribosomal RNA", at positions 1 to 523 of the family's 1533-position model. The record is from RNAcentral. Lineage: Bacteria; Deltaproteobacteria.
UAGAGUUUGAUCCUGGCUCAGAGUGAACGCUGGCGGCGUGCUUAACACAUGCAAGUCGCACGAGAACGCUUCUGCUUGCAGAGGCAAGUAAAGUGGCGCACGGGUGAGUAACACGUGGGUAAUCUACCUUCGAAUUGGGGGAUAACCAUUGCGAAAGCGAUGCUAAUACCGAAUAAUAUCGCUUGAUCUUCGGAGAUUGCGAUCAAAGGUGGCCUCUUCAUGAAAGCUACUGUUUGGAGAUGAGCCCGCGUCCCAUUAGCUAGUUGGUAGGGUAACGGCCUACCAAGGCUUCGAUGGGUAGCUGGUCUGAGAGGAUGAUCAGCCACACUGGAACUGACACACGGUCCAGACUCCUACGGGAGGCAGCAGUGAGGAAUUUUGCGCAAUGGGGAAACCCUGACGCAGCAACGCCGCGUGAGUGAUGAAGGCUUUCGAGUCGUAAAGCUCUGUCAAGUGGGAAGAACCCGCGUAUGGCUAACAUCCAUAUGCGCUGACGGUACCACUGAAGGAAGCACCGGCUAACUCCGUGCCAGCAGCCGCGGUAA